This 73-nucleotide transfer RNA is filed under the name Marmota monax (woodchuck). RNAcentral's name for it is "tRNA.Ala". The record is from RNAcentral. Lineage: Eukaryota; Metazoa; Chordata; Mammalia; Rodentia; Sciuridae.
UGGGGUGUAGCUCACUGGUUGUAGAUCAUGCUCAGCAUGCACAAGACCCUGGGUUCAAUCCCUAGCACCCCAC